CCCUUAGAUGUUCUGGGCCGCACGCGUGCUACACUGAGUGGAUCAGCGGGUCAGGUUGCGCGAAAGCGUUUCCUAAUCUUUAAAUCCGCUCGUGAUGGGGAUUGACGGUUGCAAUUUUCUGUCAUGAACGAGGAAUACCUUGUAAGCGCGGGUCAUCAUCCCGCGCUGAAUACGUCCCUGCCCUUUGUACACACCGCCCGUCGCACCUACCGAUUGAAUGAUUCGGUGAAGAUUCCGGACCGUGUUGUCACCGCUUCACGGCGGUUUUGACGUGGGAAGUUAUCUAAACCUCAUCAUUUAGAGGAAGGUGAAGUCGUAACA
This 321-nucleotide ribosomal RNA is filed under the name uncultured eukaryote. RNAcentral describes it as "partial 18S ribosomal RNA". It matches the Rfam family "Eukaryotic small subunit ribosomal RNA", at positions 1470 to 1796 of the family's 1831-position model. The record is from RNAcentral.